CCACGGGACUCCCACCCUCGACAUGAGCGCUGUGCCUGCCUCUGGCGCUGCCUGUCAGACCCGCUUCAGCUGGAAUCAAGUAGGUACGUGCUGGCAACAGAGGAAUGCAGAGCUUGUCGUGCUAUUCUGCUUCAUAAACCUGUGUCCUUGAAGUCUCCUGCAUCCCUGCCCUGUCAGACUGAUUUAUGCAGUAGCCAUGUUUGUCAAAGUAUUUGGCACCAAUGACAUCAUCUUUGUUGAAAUGCUGGACAGCGUGAUGAGUCCCAGAUGUUAAUGCACACCAAAAGUUAAGAGAGAAUGAAAUAUAAAGAUCAACUGUAACAGCCA
This 327-nucleotide long non-coding RNA is filed under the name Chloebia gouldiae (Gouldian finch). Its description in RNAcentral is "Erythrura gouldiae (Gouldian finch) lncRNA (ENSEGOG00005014099.1)". The record is from RNAcentral. Lineage: Eukaryota; Metazoa; Chordata; Aves; Passeriformes; Passeridae.